Molecule: ribosomal RNA, 339 nt
Filed under: uncultured bacterium
Lineage: Bacteria
Description: bacterial SSU rRNA
Rfam family: Bacterial small subunit ribosomal RNA
Source: RNAcentral
ACAGAUCGUUCAGAGUUUGAUCCUGGCUCAGGAUGAACGCUGGCGGCGUGCUUAACACAUGCAAGUCGAACGAUGAAGCCGGAGCUUGCUCUGGUGGAUUAGUGGCGAACGGGUGAGUAACACGUGAGUAACCUGUCCUUGACUCUGGGAUAAGCGUUGGAAACGACGUCUAAUACCGGAUACGAGCUUCAGUCGCAUGACUAGGAGCUGGAAAGAAUUUCGGUCAAGGAUGGACUCGCGGCCUAUCAGCUAGUUGGUGAGGUAACGGCUCACCAAGGCGACGACGGGUAGCCGGCCUGAGAGGGUGACCGGCCACACUGGGACUGAGACACGGCCCAG